UAGGGAAUCUUCCGCAAUGGACGCAAGUCUGACGGAGCAACGCCGCGUGAGUGAAGAAGGAUUUCGGUUCGUAAAACUCUGUUGUUAGAGAAGAACAGCGCAUAGAGUAACUGUUAUGCGUGUGACGGUAUCUAACCAGAAAGCCACGGCUAACUACGUGCCAGCAGCCGCGGUAAUACGUAGGUGGCAAGCGUUAUCCGGAAUUAUUGGGCGUAAAGCGCGCGUAGGCGGUUUUUUAAGUCUGAUGUGAAAGCCCACGGCUCAACCGUGGAGGGUCAUUGGAAACUGGAAAACUUGAGUGCAGAAGAGGACAGUGGAAUUCCAUGUGUAGCGGUGAAAUGCGCAGAGAUAUGGAGGAACACCAGUGGCGAAGGCGACUCUCUGGUCUGUAACUGACGCUGAGGCUCGAAAGCGUGGGUAGCAAACAGG
Molecule: ribosomal RNA, 429 nt
Filed under: Bacteroidota bacterium
Lineage: Bacteria; Pseudomonadati; Bacteroidota
Description: Bacteroidetes bacterium partial 16S ribosomal RNA
Rfam family: Bacterial small subunit ribosomal RNA
Source: RNAcentral